AAAAAGUUAUGUACCGAAGACAGUAAGUGCUAAAUGCUUAAUUUCUUACCGAGGACAAUUACUUAAUACUUUUAAGUCUUUGUCUUUGCGUACAAAGACUUUUUUAAUAUA
This 111-nucleotide small RNA is filed under the name bovine gut metagenome. RNAcentral describes it as "Ribosomal protein L10 leader". It matches the Rfam family "Ribosomal protein L10 leader". Rfam says of the family: This family is a putative r-protein leader autoregulatory structure found in B. subtilis and other low-GC Gram-positive bacteria. It is located in the 5' untranslated regions of mRNAs encoding ribosomal proteins L10 and L12 (rplJ-rplL). The record is from RNAcentral.